This 377-nucleotide ribosomal RNA is filed under the name uncultured bacterium. RNAcentral describes it as "bacterial SSU rRNA". It matches the Rfam family "Bacterial small subunit ribosomal RNA", at positions 790 to 1167 of the family's 1533-position model. The record is from RNAcentral.
GUAGUCCACGCCGUAAACGGUGGGUGCUAGGUGUGAGCGGUAUUCCACGCCGUUCGUGCCGCAGCUAACGCAUUAAGCACCCCGCCUGGGGAGUACGGCCGCAAGGCUAAAACUCAAAGGAAUUGACGGGGGCCCGCACAAGCAGCGGAGCAUGUGGCUUAAUUCGACGCAACGCGAAGAACCUUACCAAGGCUUGACAUGCAGGGAAAUCCUCCAGAGAUGGGGGGUCCGCAAGGGUCCUGCACAGGUGGUGCAUGGUUGUCGUCAGCUCGUGUCGUGAGAUGUUGGGUUAAGUCCCGCAACGAGCGCAACCCUCGUUCUAUGUUGCCAGCGCGUGAUGGCGGGGACUCAUAGGAGACUGCCGGGGUCAACUCGGA